GACGAACGCUGGCGGCGUGCUUAACACAUGCAAGUCGAACGGAAAGGCCCUGCUUUUGUGGGGUGCUAGCGUGGCGAACGGGUGAGUAACAUGUGAGUCACCUGCCCUUGACUUUGGGAUAUCUUCAGGCAACUGCGGCUACUACCGGCUAGGAGCUCCUGCUGCAUGGUGGGGUUCGGACCGCUCCGGCGGUUGGGGAUGGACUCGCGGGUUAUCAGCUUGUUGGUGGGGUAGUGGCUUACCCAGCCUUUGACGGGUAGCCGGCCUGGGAGGGUGACCAGCCACAUUGGGACUGAGAGACGGACCAGACUCCAACGGGAGGCAGAAGGGGGGAAUAUUGCACAAUGGGGGGAAGCCUGAUGCGGCGACGCCGCGAGCGGGAAGACGGCCAUCGGGGUGGAAACCGCUUUCGCCUGUGACGAAGCGGGAGUGACGUUAAUGGGUAAAGAAGCACCGGCUAACUACGUG
RNAcentral lists this ribosomal RNA (468 nucleotides) under uncultured bacterium. Its description in RNAcentral is "partial 16S ribosomal RNA". It matches the Rfam family "Bacterial small subunit ribosomal RNA", at positions 28 to 507 of the family's 1533-position model. The record is from RNAcentral.